RNAcentral lists this ribosomal RNA (445 nucleotides) under uncultured bacterium. RNAcentral's name for it is "partial 16S ribosomal RNA". It matches the Rfam family "Bacterial small subunit ribosomal RNA", at positions 354 to 796 of the family's 1533-position model. The record is from RNAcentral.
GUGAGGAAUAUUGGUCAAUGGGCGAGAGCCUGAACCAGCCAAGUCGCGUGAAGGAAGACGGCCCUACGGGUUGUAAACUUCUUUUGCAAUGGAAUAAAAAGAGUUACGUGUAAUUCAUUGUAUGUACAUUGCGAAUAAGGAUCGGCUAACUCCGUGCCAGCAGCCGCGGUAAUACGGAGGAUCCGAGCGUUAUCCGGAUUUAUUGGGUUUAAAGGGUGCGUAGGCGGAUUGGAAAGUCAGCGGUGAAAGUUUGCAGCUUAACUGUAAAAUUGCCAUUGAAACUGUCAGUCUUGAGUGCAAAUGAGGUAGGCGGAAUGUGUUGUGUAGCGGUGAAAUGCAUAGAUAUAACACAGAACACCAAUUGCGAAGGCAGCUUACUGGGAUGCAACUGACGCUGAGGCACGAAAGCGUGGGGAUCAAACAGGAUUAGAAACCCCAGUAGUCC